Molecule: long non-coding RNA, 452 nt
Filed under: Salvia miltiorrhiza (redroot sage)
Lineage: Eukaryota; Viridiplantae; Streptophyta; Magnoliopsida; Lamiales; Lamiaceae
Description: long non-coding RNA (SMIL_LNC002944)
Source: RNAcentral
GAUUUAUGCUUAAUUGUGCUAAAUUUUGGGGUUUGUAUGAGCUUAAUCUUAAGAUAAUCUUCUGGAAAUUGGUGCGUUUUAUGUGUUGUUUUAUGCUUUGCAGGAGAUUUAGGUUUUAUAGAUGGAAGAAUGCAAUUUUGGAGAUUUUUGGGCUAAGAAUGGCGUUUUUAGCAUAGCUCUGUCGCCAGAGCUGAGCUGCGAGCAUAGCUCUGUCGCCAGAGCUAGCCAGAGCUGAAGGCCCGCGCCAGAGCUAAAAGCCCGCGCCAGAGCUGGAAGCCCGCGCUGCAGAGCAGAGCAGAGACGCUCGACAGAGCAGAGCUGCGAAGAUAGCUCUGUAGCAGAGCAAAGCCGACAUCUCCAGAGCAGAGCCGGAAUUUCCAGAGCUGACAUCUCCAGAGCAGAACAAGUGUUACAGAGCAGAGCUAAAAUACGCACCAGAGUAAACCCGGAAG